Amphiprion ocellaris (clown anemonefish) is the source of this 682-nucleotide long non-coding RNA. Lineage: Eukaryota; Metazoa; Chordata; Actinopteri; Pomacentridae. The record is from Ensembl.
AGCCAGAGAGCAGUGAUUGGUCAGACUGACUGCGAGUCAGAGAGCAGCGAUUGGUCAGACCAUAGAUAAUAUAGGAGACAGCACGCUAGCGUAUCUAGUCUAUGUAUAUCUGUGGUCGGCACGUCUGGUAGCAUCUCUGGCUGCUGUUGACCUUGUUUUUGGAGUAAAACACGGUGGAAGCUGAAUUAGUGAGGAUGACUCCUGCUCCUGUCAUCUCUAAGCUCCUCACACAUCUUUACCUGCACAUGAGGAAAAUCACUCCUGUAGAAUGCAGAUGUUCAGAGGGAGAUGAUGCCACAUCUGGUCCAGCUGAUGGAAGGUCUUGAAGUUCUCUGACUGGCCUCGACUGAAGAUGGUCGUCUCACUGGAUUUAAGAUGCACAAUGAGGGACGUCUGCAGAGACUGAGAAAGAGUCUCACCACAUCCUGACAUGAGAAAAAGACUUUAUUGAAGACUACAAUGAGAAAAACUGUCAGACAGCAGACGGCUGCAUUCAAGUCUGUAGCUGCUGAAUUCAUGGAUGAAUCAUCUGGCACUAGAGAAGAAGACCAUCAAACAUCCACGUCAGCUGAUGGAGGUCCAAGAGUCUCACCGAACAACCAACCUACAGAGUGAAGACCUCGAAUCUGAUUGGACGGCCUCCUAUUCAGCCACAUGUGUGAACAAAUGCCUCUAAGUUGAU